RNAcentral lists this ribosomal RNA (253 nucleotides) under uncultured bacterium. RNAcentral describes it as "partial 16S ribosomal RNA". It matches the Rfam family "Bacterial small subunit ribosomal RNA", at positions 524 to 776 of the family's 1533-position model. The record is from RNAcentral.
UACAGAGGGUGCGAGCGUUAAUCGGAAUUACUGGGCGUAAAGCGCACGUAGUCGGCUUUGCAAGUCGGGUGUGAAAGCCCCGGGCUCAACCUGGGAACUGCAUUCGAGACUGCAUUACUCGAGUAUGGGAGAGGGCAGCGGAAUUUCCGGUGUAGCGGUGAAAUGCGUAGAUAUCGGAAGGAACAUCAGUGGCGAAAGCGGCUGCCUGGCCCAAUACUGACACUCAAGUGCGAAAGCGUGGGGAGCAAACAGG